RNAcentral lists this ribosomal RNA (1004 nucleotides) under uncultured bacterium. RNAcentral describes it as "bacterial SSU rRNA". It matches the Rfam family "Bacterial small subunit ribosomal RNA", at positions 499 to 1502 of the family's 1533-position model. The record is from RNAcentral.
AACUACGUGCCAGCAGCCGCGGUAAUACGUAGUGGGCGAGCGUUGUCCGGAAUACUGGGCGUAAAGGGUGUGCAGGCGGAUAUUUAAGUGAGAUGUGAAAGACCCCGGCUUAACCCCGGGCAGUGCAUUUCAAACUGGAUAUCUAGAGUGCAGGAGAGGAGAACGGAAUUCNUAGUGUAGCGGUGAAAUGCGUAGAGAUUAGGAAGAACACCAGUGGCGAAGGCGGUUCUCUGGACUGUAACUGACGCUGAGGCACGAAAGCGUGGGUAGCAAACAGGAUUAGAUACCCUGGUAGUCCAUGCCGUAAACGAUGAGUGCUAGGUGUUGGUGGGGACACCCAUCAGUGCCGCAGCUAACGCAUUAAGCACUCCGCCUGGGGAGUACGGUCGCAAGACUGAAACUCAAAGGAAUUGACGGGGACCCGCACAAGCAGCGGAGCAUGUGGUUUAAUUCGACGCAACGCGAAGAACCUUACCAGGGCUUGACAUCCCUCUGACCGGAUUAGAGAUAGUCCCUUACCUUCGGGUACAGAGGAGACAGGUGGUGCAUGGUUGUCGUCAGCUCGUGUCGUGAGAUGUUGGGUUAAGUCCCGCAACGAGCGCAACCCUUGCCUUUAGUUGCCAUCAGGUAAAGCUGGGCACUCUAGAGGGACUGCCGGUGACAAACCGGAGGAAGGUGGGGAUGACGUCAAAUCAUCAUGCCCCUUAUGUCCUGGGCUACACACGUGCUACAAUGGUCGGUACAACGGGAAGCGAGACUGCGAAGUUAAGCAAAUCCCAAUAAGCCGAUCCCAGUUCGGAUUGUAGGCUGCAACUCGCCUACAUGAAGUCGGAGUUGCUAGUAAUCGCGAAUCAGAACGUCGCGGUGAAUGCGUUCCCGGGUCUUGUACACACCGCCCGUCACACCAUGAGAGUCGGUAACACCCGAAGCCAGUGAGCUAACCUUUGGAGGCAGCUGUCGAAGGUGGGAUCGAUGAUUGGGGUGAAGUCGUAACAAGGUAGCCG